Non-coding RNA from Serratia sp. M24T3, 118 nucleotides. Lineage: Bacteria; Pseudomonadati; Pseudomonadota; Gammaproteobacteria; Enterobacterales; Yersiniaceae. The record is from Rfam.
ACAUCAGCCUGAACACAACAAUUAUUACCACCACCAUUACCAUCGGUACUGGGGCGGGCUGACGCGUACAGGAAAAACAGAAAAAAGCCCGCACCUAACCAGUGCGGGCUUUUUUUUU